UUUCGUCCAACAUGUUGCAGCCAUAUAUAUAGGCAAAACUAAACCUAGUCUAAUAAGGAAACAACUUAAAAACAAGCCCUAAUAGGCCAAACAAGGCCCUUACUUUAAAAAUCCGAAAAUAACAAGCCCUUUAAACUAAUGGGCUGCGAAAAAUAACAAUACUGAAAUAAAUAAAAGAAGUCUUCAAAAUAAAUAAAAUCUUC
Molecule: long non-coding RNA, 203 nt
Filed under: Salvia miltiorrhiza (redroot sage)
Lineage: Eukaryota; Viridiplantae; Streptophyta; Magnoliopsida; Lamiales; Lamiaceae
Description: long non-coding RNA (SMIL_LNC000869)
Source: RNAcentral